CAGCCACAUCACAUUGAAACACUGGUUCUCAUAUGAUCACUGAAGUUAAGCAACAUUGAUCCUGGUCAGUACCUAGAUGAGUGACCACUUGGGAAUACCAGAUGUUGUAAG
This is a non-coding RNA of Acanthosepion pharaonis, 111 nucleotides long. NCBI's taxonomy places the organism in Eukaryota, Metazoa, Mollusca, Cephalopoda, Sepiida, Sepiidae. The record is from the annotation of a GenBank genome assembly.